Molecule: long non-coding RNA, 1454 nt
Filed under: Ovis aries (sheep)
Lineage: Eukaryota; Metazoa; Chordata; Mammalia; Artiodactyla; Bovidae
Description: lncRNA (ENSOARG00000025496.1)
Source: RNAcentral
AUGGCCGCUGCCUGGGGGCUGGCGAGCCUUCUUUGGGGAGGGGCCUCCGUGAACACCGAGCAGACCCGGCCCGGUCUGGGGUGGAGUCCCAGCUCACUGAGGUCCAGACAGUGUCUGGGGGCGAGCGGGGGUCACCAGGAUGCGGGGCCUCGCCGUCACCCUCCCCCGCAGACGUCCCUGCGAGGGCCUCUCCUGUCAGAGAAAGUCCGGAGGGGCUGGAGUGUCUGCCCCCUCCACUCCCACUGGUCCACACCCAGAAAGAAGGACGCUGCCCGGAUUCAAGGACGUCCUUUAAUCGCAAAUACGUCUCCACAGUCUGGCCACAGGCAGGAAGCGAGUGCGGUGGGGGUUAUUGGGAGACAGCUCAGACCACCCCCAGCAAGACCAACAGCUGCGCCCGCACCCUCCCUGCCCCUGGGCUGCCUUCCCAGGCCAACGCCUGUGCUUGACCAGGCGCCUGCUCCUCCAGACCACCAGCACCGUCACGAGCAGGGUCACCAGGAUGGGGACCACGAUGAAGGGGCAGAGGACGCUGCUGGGUGGGUCCUGCAAGGCCCUGCCCGAGACGGGGCAGUUUCUGAAGAAGCGCUGGUGGACGGCGAGGAAGAGAUAGGUAGAUAAGCGUACAGACAGACGGAUAGAAGGAUACCUAGAUAGGUAGGUAGGUAGGUAGAGUGAGACAGAUAAAGACAGGCGCGCAGGGGCAGAUAGUAGAUGCAAUGAUAGAUACGUAGAUGGAUGGAUGGAUGGAUGGAAAGAGAUAGAUGGAGAGAGAGAUAAGGAGGGAGCCAGAACACCAGAGUUCGUAGAUAAGAAUACCUUCUUAAGUGAAGAAUGCAAAGAAAUAGAGGAAAGCAAUAGAAUAAGAAAGACUAGAAUUCUCUUCAAGAAAAUUGAAGAUACCAAGGGAACAUUUCAUGCAAAGAUAGGGAUAAUAAAGGACAGAAAUGGCAAGGACCUAGCAGAAGCAGAAAAGAUUAAGAAGAGGUGGUAAGAAUACACAGAACUACACAAAAAAGGUCUAAAUGAUCGGGAUAACCAUGAUGGUGUGGUUACUUACCUAGAGAGCCAGACAUCCUGGAGUGCGAAGUCAAGUGUGCCUUAGGAAACAUUAAUAUGAACAAAGCUAGCGGAAGUGACAGAAUUCCAGCUGAAUUAUUUAAAAUCCUGAAAGAUGAUACUGUGAAAGUGCUGAACUCAAUAUGUCAGCAAAUUUGGAAAACUCAGCAGUGGUCAUGGGACUGGAAAAGGUGAGUUUUCAUUCCAAUCCCAAAGAAAGGCAAUGCCAAACAAUGCUCAAAGUACCUCACAAUUGCACUCAUUUCACAUGCUAGCAAGGUAUUGCUCAAAAUCCUUCAAGCUAGGCUUCAACAAUAUGGGAACCGAGAACUUUCAGAUGUACAAGCUAGAUUUAGAAAAGGCAGAGGAACCAUAGAAUAAAUUGCCAACACUCA